GGCAUGCCGACUAAGGGACCCCGCAAGGGACUGGGAGAUACAGUGUUUCUCUGGAGGUAGAGAGAGACUGGGGAGGUACAGUAUGUGUUUCUCUGGAGGUAGAGAGAGACUGGGGAGGUACAGUAUGUGUUUCUCUGGAGGUAGAGAGAGACUGGGGAGGUACAGUAUGUGUUUCUCUGGAGGUAGAGAGAGACUGGGGAGAUACAGUAUGUGUUUCUCUGGAGGUAGAGAGGGACUGGGGAGGUACAGUAUGUGUUUCUCUGGAGGUAGAGAGAGACUGGGGAGAUACAGUAUGUGUUUCUCUGGAGGUAGAGAGAGGGACUGGGGAGAUACAGUGUUUCUCUGGAGGUAGAGAGGGACUGGGGAACUGGUAAACAGACUCAGAUAGGAUCUCAUGUGACUCAGAGUUAAAGUAACAUUUUGUUCUGUUAAAAAAAACAUUACUUUGCUUUCUGAGGUUAAUGCAACAAUCUCAUCAAACCAAAAUAAAUUGCAGUAUGUUUGGAGCAAAACGAUGAAAGUAAAACCCAUUAAAGAUAAUUAGUAGACUAAAGAGAGAGAGAGUGUUUUGAAUAGUAUACCCAGAAAUUGUAUCUGCGGAAUUCAAUUCGGAGCUCAGCUAGGGUUGAUGAAAUCUCUCUCUGUGAACUAGUCUUCCUUUUCAGAAGACCUCUAUGUGCUCAACACGAAAACACCUGAUACACAGACAGGCAUUAACUUACAUACCCUGGCUACUCACAAGUAGUGCACUAUGUGGGGGGAAAGGGGGAAAUUUGGGACGCACACCUAAAGUCAGACAGACACGCCUUUCAGCCCUGUGUCUAUGAAGGGAAAACAAUGUGUCUGGUUGUUAGGUAGAAAUAAAUGUCUGUUUCCAUUGGAGAGCUGAGUUGUUUCUGUUCAGGUAGAACACUUCCUUCUAUUGGAGAGCUGAGUUGAUUCUGUUCAGGUAGAACACUUCCUGCCAUUGGAGAGCUGAGUUGAUUCUGUUCAGGUAGAACACUUCCUUCUAUUGGAGAGCUGAGUUGAUUCUGUUCAGGUAGAACACUUCCUUCUAUUGGAGAGCUGAGUUGAUUCUGUUCAGGUAGAACACUUCCUUCUAUUGGAGAGCUGAGUUGAUUCUGUUCAGGUAGAACACUUCCUUCUAUUGGAGAGCUGAGUUGAUUCUGUUCAGGUAGAACACUUCCUUCUAUUGGAGAGCUGAGUUGAUUCUGUUCAGGUAGAACACUUCCUUCUAUUGGAGAGCUGAGUUGAUUCUGUUCAGGUAGAACACUUCCUUCUAUUGGAGAGCUGAGUUGAUUCUGUUCAGGUAGAACACUUCCUUCUAUUGGAGAGCUGAGUUGAUUCUGUUCAGGUAGAACACUUCCUUCUAUUGGAGAGCUGAGUUGAUUCUGUUCAGGUAGAACACUUCCUGCCAUUGGAGAGCUGAGUUGAUUCUGUUCAGUUAGAACACUU
Oncorhynchus keta (chum salmon) is the source of this 1455-nucleotide long non-coding RNA. RefSeq lists it as uncharacterized. The transcript is spliced from 8 exons. The record is from RefSeq and is a predicted model, not a curated record. Lineage: Eukaryota; Metazoa; Chordata; Actinopteri; Salmoniformes; Salmonidae.